CAAGUUCUUAUAGGAGCAUAUGCUUAUUAGCUUAGGACUUCUCCCUCUUCUACUUUUAGAAGUAGUCAAUCAGCUAAAUAUACCAUCCUAUCUCAUACAUCUAAAGGAUAACAUGUAUUUAUAGUUUUCCUAUACAUGUCGAUGUCACCUUAGGUUACAUAUUGUCAUUUCAUUCUCCAUUGGUAAGCUUUCUGAAUGGCAAUUAAACAUAUUUAUAAAAGUCAACUCAUUUCUUGAUUGCUUUAUAUAUUUUAAUUUUGUGAUUGAAUAUUAUAAUGAGUUGCAUAGAUAUUUUGCAUUUCCAUUCUUUUUUACGGACUUCAUCUUUCUUUUAGAUUACUUUCUUUGUAAUCUAAAUGAAGGAUCAAAGCCUUAGUCUGAUAAUGAUACUAAUUGGUAGCUCUACUAGCAUGGUGCUAGUUAAUGCAUGAUUUUGGUUGGUACCAAGCAUGGUAUGCAAUUUCGAAUGGUACCGCCCGGUACGGGCGGUAUGUACUGGUCUGAUGGCAUACCGGUACGCGGACCGCCCGCUACCGGACGGACCGUGCUUCAGUUCUACAGUAAUACACUGUAGCAGUUCUACAGUGCUACAGUGCUACAAUAAGAGGUAAUCGCUCGGUAAGCCCUAGUGUACCAUUUGGUAUGCCCUGGUGUACCGCUCGGCAUGCUGGUACCGUAUCGUACCGAGUCAACCUCGAAAUACCGGUACGGUACGGUAUUGCAUACCUUGGUACCAAGGACCAUUGUUUUAUGCCGACGAGUGGUAUAGGUCCUGGGUCGGACCGAAAUGUAUCGGUCAAUGUUGGCAUACCAUAUGUUGGUAUGUUGCUAUCGGUUUUUGGGAAAAGGGAAGAAAAUGGUCAAAAAAAAAAAAAGACCAUUUUAGGGUUUUCAUUCCUAAUUUAAUGGUAAUAUUUAUUGUAUUUAAAUAAGAAUUGAGUGUAUAUGAGGCAUAGAUGAAUAUAAAUUCUAGGCUCUAAGGAUGAGCAAAUGAAUUAUCUUUCUAAUAACUCCUAAUUGGUCCCAAAUUAUAUAUAAUGACCCUUAAUUGGGCCUAAACUAAUCAAAAUGAUAUUAGGUAAUUCUAAUUUGACUUUAAUUAGACUUUUGUUGCUUCUUUUAUCCAAAUCAAUAACUUGAUUACCAUUUACCACUAAUCAGUAAUCGCCGAUUAGGAACUUUAAUCAUAAGUGAGAGUGUGAGAAAGAGUGAGGCUGAGAGUCAGGAUGAGAGUAAGUGACCAGGGGAAAGGGAGGGGGAUCUAGGCCCCAAAAGAGGCUCCGACAAUAAAUUUGAGCAUUGGGUUCAAAAUCGACCCAAUUUACAUUGGUAUCGAUCAAAUUCCGAUCGAUAUCGAUGUGUAUCAGCCGAUACAACAGUUUCGACUAUAUUGGCCAAUACAUCACUUGUACCAGUCGAUGCUUGACCUAUCCCCUGCAUACUACCUGAAAUGGGCUAGUUCACAUAAUAGUCAAUUGAUGGACCGAUAUGUACAACCCAUUUUGUACCAUUUCGGGAGGUACGUCAAUCCUUGGUUGAUGCUACUUUGGAUCAUAGAGAAAGAGAGAGAAGAGGGGAGGUAGAGGAUGUGGAGGCGAUGCAUGCUAAUGAUGCAGCCAAGGAGGAUGAGGAGGUGGCAUAGGAGGAGGAGAGGAGUUGGCCAACGUAGAGGGGAUGGUGAUCUGGAGGAGGAGAAAUAAGAGGGGAGAAAAAGAAGAAUGAAAAAAUGAGAAGUUGAUCAGCUAUUGACAACAAUAUAUUAAAGAGAACCAAAAAACAUGUGAGACAGCCGUCACAUUUGAGGUAGCAAUGCAUCUAUCAGGAGACAGCUAUCAUGUCUCACAUAUAAAGCAAAAAUAGGGUUGGCUACUUGUACCAGACAACAGGUUUAUCACUCUAUAGCUUGGUACCAGUCUGUUUAUCAUCUGAUAAACUUAGUAUAAUGAACUUACUGGGUGGUAAGCUCAGUUUUAUAUUGAACAAGGUGAAAUUGCCUGAUUUGCAUACUGGUUGGGCAUCAAACCAUAAAUACCAGACACAUCAUCCACUACAUUCUGAAGUGUGAACUAUUGAGAGAAUUAGUUAAACAUAUCAAUGCAUUUAGCUCAUUACAUGUGAGUUCUACACACCAG
This 2132-nucleotide long non-coding RNA is filed under the name Musa acuminata (dwarf banana). RNAcentral describes it as "long non-coding RNA (MACU_LNC000592)". The record is from RNAcentral. Lineage: Eukaryota; Viridiplantae; Streptophyta; Magnoliopsida; Zingiberales; Musaceae.